CCUUCACACAGUUCAGUUCGGCCAUUCUUUGAUUCGGUUCGAUGCCGGUGUUGGUUUAUGCAGAACUUUUUCUGUGUUUGUGCUUGUGUGCUGAGGCAAUUCCAAUGGAACAAGCGUGAAGGAACCUGUUCCUGCGUGUACAGCCGGAGCCACGGUGUCCCGAUUAUCAGUUUCAGUUCAUAACGCUUUAUAAAUGUGAUACUUCCAACAUGGAAAGAUUCAAUAAACAACACCACACCUACCACAAUGCUUCAUCCGCAAUUAUUGAAUGAGCUUUCAUCGCUAUCGUCAGUGUCUAUCCAUACUGGAAGUCAAAAGAUGCCACGCGAGAAUGCUUCAUCGUAAAAACAAACUGUAUCAAGCAAUACACGCAAGCCGGUUUCUCGUGCGAAUAAUGCAAUGAUAGAAAAUAUACCGUCCACAUCGAUAGUAGUGCAUUCUUCUUUGGAUCACUUCUCGUUUAUGCAAACAACUGCAACAACUUCGGGUGCUUGUCAACGAAAACCUAAACCCCUUUCAUCUACUGCUUCAAUGGCAACGCAAACGGAUUUUUCUAGUGGACAGAACGUGGGAUUAGAUGCCAUACUAGAAAAAUUAGACACCAUGCAGAGGGAGCAACAAAGACAGGCAAACAUGUAUCAGAAUAAAAUGCUGGAUAUGGAGAAGCAGCAGAAAUUAAUACGAGCACAGUUAGAUAUUUUAUCCGACAAAUUGAUUCCACGGCCAGGAUUUGUUGCGGAAUCGUCGUUUGAAUGGGAAACGGUGGGGACCAGGGAAGAACUAGAUCGACUGGUGGAAAGAUUGGGGGAACCAGAGUUCAAAAAAAAAUUUAUGGAAUUUUUAGAUACAAAGCUGCCGACCGACAGUUCAGAAGCUAGACUCCAUGAUAGCAUGGACAUUAUAUUCAAAAAGGAUUUUGUGACACAAGCCAACUGGACAGGAUUAGGACCAGAUAAAGUUUGUUUUUCAAAUUAUGAAAUGGUUAUUCAGAUUUUUAAAUUUAUAGGAACAUGUCAUGGAGUUUCACCCACGGACCAAAGAAUCAUAACAUUUUUCCAAAAUAAGUUUAAACAUUCAAAACAAAGACUUAACUUGGUGGGAAAAGU
Molecule: long non-coding RNA, 1106 nt
Organism: Anopheles merus
Lineage: Eukaryota; Metazoa; Arthropoda; Insecta; Diptera; Culicidae
Exons: 5
Source: RefSeq, a predicted model, not a curated record